This 496-nucleotide ribosomal RNA is filed under the name uncultured bacterium. RNAcentral's name for it is "partial 16S ribosomal RNA". It matches the Rfam family "Bacterial small subunit ribosomal RNA", at positions 29 to 507 of the family's 1533-position model. The record is from RNAcentral.
AUGCACGCUGGCGGCGUGCCUAAUACAUGCCAGUCGAGCGAACGGACGAGAAGCUUGCUUCUCUGAUGUUAGCGGCGGACGGGUGAGUAACACGUGGAUAACCUACCUAUAAGACUGGGAUAACUUCGGGAAACCGGAGCUAAUACCGGAUGAUAUUUUGAACCGCAUGGUUCAAAAGUGAAAGACGGUCUUGCUGUCACUUAUAGAUGGAUCCGCGCUGCAUUAGCUAGUUGGUAAGGUAACGGCUUACCAAGGAAACGAUGCAUAGCCGACCUGAGAGGGUGAUCGGCCACACUGGAACUGAGACACGGUCCAGACUCCUACGGGAGGCAGCAGUAGGGAAUCUUCCGCAAUGGGCGAAAGCCUGACGGAGCAACGCCGCGUGAGUGAUGAAGGUCUUCGGAUCGUAAAACUCUGUUAUUAGGGAAGAACAUAUGUGUAAGUAACUGUGCACAUCUUGACGGUACCUAAUCAGAAAGCCACGGCUAACUACGUG